GGCCUUGUAGCUCAGUGGGUAGAGCGGAUCCACAAUCAGGUGUCAGGUUUCCGGUUCGAGUCCGGCCAAGGCCA
Molecule: transfer RNA, 74 nt
Filed under: Flavonifractor sp. An9
Lineage: Bacteria; Bacillati; Bacillota; Clostridia; Eubacteriales; Oscillospiraceae
Description: tRNA-Val
Rfam family: tRNA
About the family: Transfer RNA (tRNA) molecules are approximately 80 nucleotides in length. Their secondary structure includes four short double-helical elements and three loops (D, anti-codon, and T loops). Further hydrogen bonds mediate the characteristic L-shaped molecular structure. tRNAs have two regions of fundamental functional importance: the anti-codon, which is responsible for specific mRNA codon recognition, and the 3' end, to which the tRNAs corresponding amino acid is attached (by aminoacyl-tRNA synthetases). tRNAs cope with the degeneracy of the genetic code in two manners: having more than one tRNA (with a specific anti-codon) for a particular amino acid; and 'wobble' base-pairing, i.e. permitting non-standard base-pairing at the 3rd anti-codon position.
Source: RNAcentral